GUGGGGAAUAUUGGACAAUGGGGGGAACCCUGAUCCAGCCAUGCCGCGUGUGUGAAGAAGGCCUUUUGGUUGUAAAGCACUUUAAGCGAGGAGGAGGCUACCGAGAUUAAUACUCUUGGAUAGUGGACGUUACUCGCAGAAUAAGCACCGGCUAACUCUGUGCCAGCAGCCGCGGUAAUACAGAGGGUGCAAGUGUUAAUCGGAUUUACUGGGCGUAAAGCGCGCGUAGGUGGCCAAUUAAGUCAAAGGUGAACUCCCCGAGCUUAACGUGGGAAUUGCAUUCGAUACUGGUUGGCUAGAGUAUGGGAGAGGAUGGUAGAAUUCCAGGUGUAGCGGUGAAAUGCGUAGAGAUCUGGAGGAAUACCGAUGGCGAAGGCAGCCAUCUGGCCUAAUACUGACACUGAGGUGCGAAAGCAUGGGGAGCAAACAGGAUUAGAUACCCUGGUAGUCC
RNAcentral lists this ribosomal RNA (451 nucleotides) under uncultured bacterium. RNAcentral's name for it is "bacterial SSU rRNA". It matches the Rfam family "Bacterial small subunit ribosomal RNA", at positions 354 to 796 of the family's 1533-position model. The record is from RNAcentral.